CUGCUGCCUCCCGUAGGAGUUUGGGCCGUGUCUCAGUCCCAAUGUGGCCGAUCAACCUCUCAGUUCGGCUACGCAUCAUUGCCUUGGUAAGCCUUUACCCCACCAACUAGCUAAUGCGCCGCGGGCCCAUCCAAAAGCGGUAGCAUAGCCACCUUUUUACAUAGUUACCAUGCGGUAACUAUGGUUAUGCGGUAUUAGCACCUGUUUCCAAGUGUUAUCCCCCUCUUUUGGGCAGGGUUUGCCCCACGUGUUACUCACCCGUUCGCCA
Molecule: ribosomal RNA, 268 nt
Filed under: uncultured bacterium
Lineage: Bacteria
Description: partial 16S ribosomal RNA
Source: RNAcentral